CAUAUGCUUGUCUCAAAGAUUAAGCCAUGCAUGUCUAAGUCCAAGCUGUGUUCACACGGCGAGACCGCGGACGGCUCAUUAAAUCAGUCGUGGUCCAAAUGGGCCAGUGCAAAUCCUACUUGGAUAACUGUGGUAAUUCCAGAGCUAAUACAUGCAACUGAUAUCCCGAAGGCGGUGUUUGGGCUUGCUUGCCUUGCGCUGCGCUGCUCUGACGGAUGCUUUUAUUAGACCAAGCCGCUGAGGACUUGAGGGUUCGCGCUCUCUUGUCUGACUCGUGUGAUGGUGACUCUGGAUAACCAAAUUCUGACAAGCGCACGUACUUCUCUUCUGAGCGAGACGGCGCUGCCACUUUCGAGUGUCUGCCUUAUCAGCUAUCAACCGUUCGUUAUGCGCGACCGAUGGCUUUGACGGGUAACGGGGAAUCAGGGUUCGAUUCCGGAGAGGCAGCCUGAGAGACGGCUACCACGUCCAAGGACGGCAGCAGGCACGCAAAUUACCCAAUCCCAGCAAAUGGGGGAGGUAGUGACGAAAUCUAACGAUGCGGGCGCCCUUUCUGGGGCCCCGCAAUCGGAAUGGGCACUUUCUAAACAACCUGUUGAGAACCUACUGAA
Molecule: ribosomal RNA, 611 nt
Filed under: Eulimnogammarus verrucosus
Lineage: Eukaryota; Metazoa; Arthropoda; Malacostraca; Amphipoda; Eulimnogammaridae
Description: SSU rRNA
Rfam family: Eukaryotic small subunit ribosomal RNA
Source: RNAcentral